GGUAAAAUGGCUGAGCAUAAGCAUUGAACUGUAAAUUCAAAGACAUAGACUAGAUAUCUCUUUUAACUA
This 69-nucleotide transfer RNA is filed under the name Sarcophilus harrisii (Tasmanian devil). It matches the Rfam family "tRNA". From Rfam's summary of the family: Transfer RNA (tRNA) molecules are approximately 80 nucleotides in length. Their secondary structure includes four short double-helical elements and three loops (D, anti-codon, and T loops). Lineage: Eukaryota; Metazoa; Chordata; Mammalia; Dasyuromorphia; Dasyuridae. The record is from Rfam by way of RNAcentral.